GAUGCCAUUGGCAGCUCAGGAUUUCUAUUGCUUUCAUUUUGACUAAUAACUAACCUGGACAAGAUAUACACUUUCAAAAAGCACAAAAGAUCGAGCUAGCUAGAACUGAACUUGAUUAGCUCUAGUCUCCACAUUGCCGAAGAUAACUUGCAUAUGUAAAAUUAUACUAGCGGCUAUUUGGUAACUCUGGCCAAUAUUGGACCGUCAGUUUAAUUCAUUAGCUCUAGUUAAUUAAAUAAGUUAACGAUUCUUCAUUUCUUCUCCAAGAUAUAUACAUGUUCACCUAUCUGAUUAUACAACAUUGUAUAUAUUAGCUUUAGUCUUCACCUAUCCCCUGUUUACUAUAAACGAUCUUGACUGUUUCAAGGUACGCACCUGAGAAAUUAAGCCUAUGCAUGAAGUCAUUUACAUAAAGUUAGUGGCAUCCCAUGACGAAAUUCUUAAUAGCUGGAUUAGUUGGAACUAAACCCUUAAUUAAUUAAUGAAAUGGUUCAUCAGCUACCUACUAGCUAGUAGUGAUGAAAGGCUAACUAUAUAAACCGUGAACAUCUUCCUCAAUUCUCAUUCUAAAAUAUCUUUAAGCCAUACAAGUUCCAAUGGCCAAUCUUUGGCCUAGCCUGCUUAUUGCCUUGGCAAUAGCCUUUCUAGCCAACAGUCAUGUAGCUGCUAGUUAUGAGACACCAUAUAUUUAUGCAUCGCCUCCACCACCUUACGUAUACAAGUCACCACCACCACCAUCUCCAUCACCACCUCCUCCUUACCUUUACAAGUCACCGCCACCACCUUCGCCAUCUCCUCCUCCACCAUACAUUUACAAGUCACCGCCACCUCCUUCUCCCAAGUCGUAUGUCUACAAGUCACCACCACCACCAUCUGAUGACAAGCCGUACGUCUACAAGUCUCCUCCUCCACCAUCCUCCCCUAAGCCUUACGAAUACAAGUCUCCUCCACCACCAUCACCGAAACCGUAUGUAUACAAGUCUCCACCACCACCAUCCCCAAAGCCUGCUUACGUGUACAAGUCUCCUCCUCCACCAUCCCCUAAGCCGUACGUAUACAAGUCUCCUCCACCACCAUCACCGAAGCUGUACGUUUACAAGUCACCACCACCACCAUCUCACAAGCCGUACGUCUACAAGUCUCCUCCUCCACCAUCCCCUAAGCCAUACGAAUACAAGUCACCACCACCACCACCAUCCCCAAAGCCUUCUUACUUGUACAAGUCUCCUCCUCCACCAUCCCCUAAGCCGUACAUAUACAAGUCUCCUCCACCACCAUCACCAAAGCUGUACGUUUACAAGUCACCACCUCCACCAUCCCCUAAGCCGUACGUAUACAAGUCUCCUCCUCCACCAUCCCCUAAGUCGUACGAAUACAAGUCACCACCACCACCAUCUGAUGACAAGCCGUACAUAUACAAGUCUCCCCCACCACCAUCAUCAAAGCCGUACUUGUACAAGUCACCACCACCACCAUCUCACAAGCCGUACGUCUACAACUCUCCUCCACCACCAUCACCGAAGCCGU
Molecule: long non-coding RNA, 1527 nt
Filed under: Fragaria vesca (wild strawberry)
Lineage: Eukaryota; Viridiplantae; Streptophyta; Magnoliopsida; Rosales; Rosaceae
Description: long non-coding RNA (FVES_LNC001789)
Source: RNAcentral